This is a long non-coding RNA of Peromyscus eremicus (cactus mouse), 516 nucleotides long. RefSeq lists it as uncharacterized. The record is from RefSeq and is a predicted model, not a curated record. The transcript has 3 exons. NCBI's taxonomy places the organism in Eukaryota, Metazoa, Chordata, Mammalia, Rodentia, Cricetidae.
AACCUAUAUACAAUUGGUCCUACUCUUGCUUCUUGAAUUCCAACAGAAUGUCAAAGUAAAAGACGAGCUUGGAAAGCUAGCACAAGCCUCCCUGGCCGAUCAGGGAAGACAGAAGACCUAAGCACUGGAAGUGACUGCUGUAGUUUUACCACCAUAAAAUAAACAGCAAAGGCAGAGGAGAUGUAUCCAGAAGGAAGACACACAUCACAAGGCAUUUGGACCCCAAGCACUGGAAAGGUUUGCCCUCAACAUCAAAUUCAGGGAACCCUAAGAAGCAGGUGCUAAUGCACAAGUCCUGAUCAUGAAGAAAAGCUAGUCAAGUCGGAAAUGGUGACUGCUAGAGAGGAGGAAAGGAACCUGGAGGAGAAGGCUUAGCCCAGAUCAAACCAGAGCUACUGCAACUUGUGGAGGAUCUGAGCUUCAGCUUCCUGCUCUCGCUGUCAUGCAUGUCUGAUGCCAGGUUUCCCUGUCUGGAUGGACUCCACCCCUCUGGAAACAGUAGCCCAAAUAAACUCU